Coffea eugenioides is the source of this 107-nucleotide small nucleolar RNA. Lineage: Eukaryota; Viridiplantae; Streptophyta; Magnoliopsida; Gentianales; Rubiaceae. The record is from RefSeq and is a predicted model, not a curated record.
AGACUGUGAUGUGGUCAUUUUCGUUGUAACUCCCUAAAUUGCUCCCAUGCUUCAUACAAAGAUUCUCCCUCUUACGGACAAAAACUAAUUAUAUUUAUUCUUAACUU